Molecule: ribosomal RNA, 256 nt
Filed under: uncultured Symbiodinium
Lineage: Eukaryota; Dinophyceae; Suessiales; Symbiodiniaceae
Description: partial Bacterial small subunit ribosomal RNA
Rfam family: Bacterial small subunit ribosomal RNA
Source: RNAcentral
GGGAAGAAAAGGCUGUUGCUAAUAUCGACAGCUGAUGACGGUACCUGAAGAAUAAGCACCGGCUAACUACGUGCCAGCAGCCGCGGUAAUACGUAGGGUGCGAGCGUUAAUCGGAAUUACUGGGCGUAAAGCGCGCGUAGGUGGUUUGUUAAGCGGAAUGUGAAAGCCCCGGGCUCAACCUGGGAACUGCAUUGCGAACUGGCAGACUAGAGUACAGUAGAGGGUAGUGGAAUUUCCUGUGUAGCGGUGAAAUGCG